RNAcentral lists this ribosomal RNA (507 nucleotides) under uncultured bacterium. RNAcentral describes it as "partial 16S ribosomal RNA". It matches the Rfam family "Bacterial small subunit ribosomal RNA", at positions 30 to 523 of the family's 1533-position model. The record is from RNAcentral.
AUUGAACGCUGGCGGCAGGCCUAACACAUGCAAGUCGAGCGGCAGCGGGAAAGUAGCUUGCUACUUUUGCCGGCGAGCGGCGGACGGGUGAGUAAUGCCUGGGAAAUUGCCCAGUCGAGGGGGAUAACAGUUGGAAACGACUGCUAAUACCGCAUACGCCCUACGGGGGAAAGCAGGGACCUUCGGGCCUUGCGCGAUUGGAUAUGCCCAGGUGGGAUUAGCUAGUUGGUGAGGUAAUGGCUCACCAAGGCGACGAUCCCUAGCUGGUCUGAGAGGAUGAUCAGACACACUGGAACUGAGACACGGUCCAGACUCCUACGGGAGGCAGCAGUGGGGAAUAUUGCACAAUGGGGGAAACCCUGAUGCAGCCAUGCCGCGUGUGUGAAGAAGGCCUUCGGGUUGUAAAGCACUUUCAGCGAGGAGGAAAGGUUGAUGCCUAAUACGUAUCAACUGUGACGUUACUCGCAGAAGAAGCACCGGCUAACUCCGUGCCAGCAGCCGCAGUAA